Molecule: ribosomal RNA, 198 nt
Filed under: uncultured bacterium
Lineage: Bacteria
Description: partial 16S ribosomal RNA
Rfam family: Bacterial small subunit ribosomal RNA
Source: RNAcentral
ACGCUCGACACCUACGGGAGACAGCAGUGGGGAAUAUUGCACAAUGGGGGAAACCCUGAUGCAGCGAUGCCGCGUGAAGGAAGAAGUAUCUCGGUAUGUAAACUUCUAUCAGCAGGGAAGAAAAUGACGGUACCUGACUAAGAAGCCCCGGCUAACUACGUGCCUGCAGCCGCGGUAAUCUGAGCGGGCUGGCAAGGC